RNAcentral lists this ribosomal RNA (253 nucleotides) under uncultured bacterium. Its description in RNAcentral is "partial 16S ribosomal RNA". It matches the Rfam family "Bacterial small subunit ribosomal RNA", at positions 524 to 776 of the family's 1533-position model. The record is from RNAcentral.
UACGUAGGGCGCAAGCGUUGUCCGGAAUUAUUGGGCGUAAAGAGCUCGUAGGCGGCUUGUCACGUCGGUUGUGAAAGCCCGGGGCUUAACCCCGGGUCUGCAGUCGAUACGGGCAGGCUAGAGUGUGGUAGGGGAGAUCGGAAUUCCUGGUGUAGCGGUGAAAUGCGCAGAUAUCAGGAGGAACACCGGUGGCGAAGGCGGAUCUCGGGGCCAUUACUGACGCUGAGGAGCGAAAGCGUGGGGAGCGAACAGG